Long non-coding RNA from Erinaceus europaeus (western European hedgehog), 1491 nucleotides. RefSeq lists it as uncharacterized. NCBI's taxonomy places the organism in Eukaryota, Metazoa, Chordata, Mammalia, Eulipotyphla, Erinaceidae. The transcript has 3 exons. The record is from RefSeq and is a predicted model, not a curated record.
AUAAUAUGGAAGGGAUAAGGAUAAUAUGGAAGAGCUUCGUUCCUAGUAUAUUUCCAUAAUAACUUAAAUUGAAAUGCCACACUGGACAAGACUGCAGAAUUGUCAUUUCUCUAUUUGUACCCUUAAUUUUAUAUUUUUAUAGAUAUGCUUGGCUUGAACCCAAAUUCACAUAUGUACUAAAAAUGUUUAGUUGGUAAAUUUUUACUUUUCAUUUAUACCUAAACAUUUAACUAUAAAGAAAAACAACUCAGAGAGUCGGCUGAGCUGCAGGAAAAAAAUAUUGUAGAUUGACAAUUAUUUUCAGCUGCCUUACUUCAAUGUUUGUACUACUUCUAGGACAUAGUAAAAAUUUCAAGUUCAUACUGCCCGGGAAGCAGCACUGUCAUUAUUUUUGGACAUAGAAGUGUUAAUACCCUGAUUUUAUGUCAGGGAGAUAUGCCAGAGAGACACUCUAGUUCUCUCAUAUCUGCCUUUCAUGCUAGUAAAUAUGUUUUUUUCUGAAUUUACUAAUUCUUGUGGAAAGACCAACCUGAACUUUCUCCUUAAAAUCAUGCACUAACCAGAUACUUGGCUAAUGCAGUUCAUCAGCUACAGACUUCUGGAAGACUUUGCACUGAAUGCAUAGCACAGCUCAGUCCAGAAAAACAGCCACUCAGGAGCUGCUGAACUCUUCCUACAUGGGCUAUCAUCACCAGAAAACUAAAUUCAAAUAAAUGUUUACCCUUAAAAAAAAUAAUACACUAGGUAUAUUUAUUUUCAUUCAAUUAUUUAUUGAAUGCCUAAUGUUCUAAGCAGUAUACAUAUUCUUUGUCAUGUUAAAACAGUAUGAGGUGCUCUUGGUUACUUGGUUUAACAAAAACAUUUGGUAAUUAACAUUUUCAUUUGAUUAAGCUUGUGAGGUUGGUUCCAAGAAAAAUGAACAUCAAAAUUCCCUUAAUGUGACUUUUACCAAUAAGGAUCACCUCAAAGAUGCUCUAUCAUCCCACCCUGCCUUAUCUUUAGUCUUUAGAGUCUGUCCAGUCCUCUCAUCCAUUUGCAUAUGCUAAUUCAUAUCACAAACAUCGAUCUUAACAGAAAAUAGUUAACAAUUAAAUAGAAGUGUUAACUAUUUGCAAUAAUGUAUAUAUACGUUUUUUGAGGAAAUAUUUUGAUUCCAGCAAUUUUAGUUCUUGUAAAAGAAAUCAAGGACUAUUUAUCAGGAGGAGCCCAGUUAAAAUUGCUAGUUCAAUACUGUACAAAAAAAUUGACAAAAUAGAGUAUGGAAAAGACAUUUCUCCCGUCCUUACCCUUUUAUAAGAAGCUGCAAAUAUGCUACUGGGUGGUAGCGCAGUGGGUUAAGCACAGGUGGCACAAAGCACAAGGUUCAGUAUAAGGAUGCUGGUUCGAGGCCCCGGCUCCCCACCUGCAGGGGAGUCGCUUCACAAGCAGGGAAGCAGGUCUGCAGGUGUCUAUCUUUCUCUCCUCUCUGUCUUCCCCUCUUCUCUCCAUUUC